CCUACGGGGGGCUGCAGUGAGGAAUCUUCCACAAUGGGCGAAAGCCUGAUGGAGCAACGCCGCGUGCAGGAUGAAGGCCUUCGGGUCGUAAACUGCUUUUAUAAGUGAAGAAUAUGACGGUAACUUAUGAAUAAGCACCGGCUAACUACGUGCCAGCAGCCGCGGUCAUACGUAGGGUGCAAGCAUUAUCCGGAGUGACUGGGCGUAAAGAGUUGCGUAGGUGGUUUUAUAAGCGAAUAGUGAAAUCUGGUGGCUCAACCAUACAGACUAUUAUUCGAACUGUAAAACUCGAGAGUAGCAGAGGUAACUGGAAUUUCUAGUGUAGGAGUGAAAUCCGUAGAUAUUAGAAGGAACACCAAUGGCGUAGGCAGGUUACUGGGCUAUUUCUGACACUAAGGCACGAAAGCGUGGGGAGCGAACCGGAUUAGAUACCCCAGUAGUC
Molecule: ribosomal RNA, 442 nt
Filed under: uncultured bacterium
Lineage: Bacteria
Description: bacterial SSU rRNA
Rfam family: Bacterial small subunit ribosomal RNA
Source: RNAcentral